Molecule: ribosomal RNA, 441 nt
Filed under: uncultured bacterium
Lineage: Bacteria
Description: partial 16S ribosomal RNA
Rfam family: Bacterial small subunit ribosomal RNA
Source: RNAcentral
CCUACGGGGGGCUGCAGUGGGGGAUAUUACACAAUGGGGGGAACCCUGAUGCAGCGACGCCGCGUGGGUGAAGGAGUAUUUCGGUAUGUAAAGCCCUAUCGGCAGGGACGAAAUUGGACGGUACCUGACUAAGAAGCCCCGGCUAACUACGUGCCAGCAGCCGCGGUAAUACGUAGGGGGCAAGCGUUAUCCGGAUUCACUGGGUGUAAAGGGAGCGUAGACGGCCAUGCAAGCCAGGGGUGAAAGCCCGGGGCCCAACCCCGGGACUGCCCUUGGAACUGCAUGGCUGGAGUGCGGGAGGGGCAGGCGGAAUGCCUGGGGUAGCGGUGAAAUGCGUAGAUAUCAGGAGGAACACCGGCGGCGAAGGCGGCCUGCUGGACCGCGACUGACGUUGAGGCUCGAAAGCGUGGGGAGCGAACAGGAUUAGAUACCCCUGUAGUC